This is a long non-coding RNA of Haliotis rubra (blacklip abalone), 219 nucleotides long. RefSeq lists it as uncharacterized. The transcript has 3 exons. Lineage: Eukaryota; Metazoa; Mollusca; Gastropoda; Lepetellida; Haliotidae. The record is from RefSeq and is a predicted model, not a curated record.
ACAUUUUUGCAGGUUGACCCGAGCAGUUGCCGUUCUUUCAUUGCUGAAGAAAUUUUGAAUGCAGGGAAGGAUAUGCAACCGAAGAAUACCACACAUGACGUACCAAGAAGAUACGGACUGCGAGAGCAAGUUCCGGCGAAAAGAUUUUCCGAUUCAUGGUGUGCUGACCAACCGCUGCCGUUGAAACGGACAAGACCACCUGGACAUACGUCAGCGAAG